CAAAUCUCUGGGCCCGAAAGGGUCUCAUUUGCGCUUGUUGUGUUUGACAGAGUAAACUGUGACUAAAUAAUAGACAACUUUUAACAAUGGAUCUCUUGGCUCUUGCAACGAUGAAGAACGCAGUUAAGUGCGAUAUGUAGUGCGAUUUGCAUGAAUCUGUGAGUCAUCGAGUCUUUGAACGCAACUUGCGCCCAGCAAUGGGCAUGCCUGUUCGAGUACCACAAACCCUCUGUCUACCACACUUGUGUAGUGGACGCAAUGGGCGCUGCCAGCGGCACGCCUGAAAUGCAGUUUGCAUAGUGGGGCCAUCCUGCGAGUCAUGAACGUCUGCCUACGGUGUCUAGCUUCGGCUAGCCAUCCACUGGGCUGCGCUCGGCCGCGAGUUGGUACCUUUUUUUU
RNAcentral lists this unclassified non-coding RNA (399 nucleotides) under uncultured Rozellomycota. RNAcentral's name for it is "uncultured Cryptomycota sequence contains ITS1, 5.8S rRNA gene, ITS2". The stretch from base 76 to 221 matches the Rfam family "5.8S ribosomal RNA". The record is from RNAcentral. Lineage: Eukaryota; Fungi; Rozellomycota.